Mugil cephalus (flathead mullet) is the source of this 229-nucleotide long non-coding RNA. RefSeq lists it as uncharacterized. NCBI's taxonomy places the organism in Eukaryota, Metazoa, Chordata, Actinopteri, Mugiliformes, Mugilidae. The transcript has 5 exons. The record is from RefSeq and is a predicted model, not a curated record.
GAAAGAGCUGAGAAAGAAGUGGAGACACUGAAGAGGAAACUGGAGACUGAGUUGGAGAAAAACAAAGCUGCUGCUUCCACUUCUAUCUGGCCUUUCAGGCAUCCAGAGAUCUACAACGAUCCGAUGGAAGUGGAGGAGGUAGAUGAACGAAAGAACCUCAUGGAUCGAGAGAGAGAAUUAAUGAAGCAGAUCAACCAACAGGAAGAGAAACAUCAGAGAGAAAUAAAGG